RNAcentral lists this ribosomal RNA (506 nucleotides) under uncultured bacterium. Its description in RNAcentral is "bacterial SSU rRNA". It matches the Rfam family "Bacterial small subunit ribosomal RNA", at positions 28 to 528 of the family's 1533-position model. The record is from RNAcentral.
GAUGAACGCUAGCGGCAGGCUUAACACAUGCAAGUCGAGGGGCAGCGAGGGUAGCAAUACCUGUCGGCGACCGGCGGAAGGGUGAGUAACGCGUGAGCAACAUACCCGUAUCAGUGGGAUAAUACAGGGAAACUUGUUCUAAUAUCGCAUAAUAUUAUUCAGAGGCAUCUUUGGAUAAUUAAAGUUCCGACGGUACGGGAUGGGCAUGCGUAACAUUAGCUGGUUGGUAAGGUAACGGCUUACCAAGGCUAUGAUGUUUAGGGGUCCUGAGAGGGUGGUCCCCCACACUGGUACUGAGACACGGACCAGACUCCUACGGGAGGCAGCAGUGAGGAAUAUUGGUCAAUGGGCGCAAGCCUGAACCAGCCAUCCCGCGUGCAGGAAGACGGCCCUAUGGGUUGUAAACUGCUUUUCCAGGGAGAGAAACUUACGCACGUGUUGCGUGACUGACGGUACCCUGGGAAUAAGCAUCGGCUAACUCCGUGCCAGCAGCCGCGGUAAAACGU